CCUACGGGAGGCAGCAGUGGGGAAUAUUGCACAAUGGGGGAAACCCUGAUGCAGCGACGCCGCGUGAGUGAAGAAGUAUUUCGGUAUGUAAAGCUCUAUCAGCAGGAACGAGACAAGACGGUACCUGACUAAGAAGCCCCGGCUAACUACGUGCCAGCAGCCGCGGUAAUACGUAGGGGGCAAGCGUUAUCCGGAAUCACUGGGUGUAAAGGGAGCGUAGACGGCUGAGCAAGCAUGAAGUGAAAGGCGGGGGCCCAACCCCCGGACUGCUUUGGGAACUGUACGGCUGGAGUACAGGAGAGGUAAGUGGAAUUCCUAGUGUAGCGGUGAAAUGCGUAGAUAUUAGGAGGAACACCAGUGGCGAAGGCGGCUUACUGGACUGUAACUGACGUUGAGGCUCGAAAGCGUGGGGAGCAAACAGGAUUAGAUACCCCUGUAGUC
RNAcentral lists this ribosomal RNA (441 nucleotides) under uncultured bacterium. Its description in RNAcentral is "partial 16S ribosomal RNA". It matches the Rfam family "Bacterial small subunit ribosomal RNA", at positions 338 to 795 of the family's 1533-position model. The record is from RNAcentral.